UGUGNUGAGGGUAGUGGGUAAAGAAGCGCCGGCUAANUACGUGCCAGCAGCCGCGGUAAUACGUAGGGCGCGAGCGUUNUCCGGAAUUAUUGGGCGUAAAGGGCUUGUAGGCGNCCGGUCGCGUCUGCCGUGAANUCCUCUGGCUCAACUGGGGGCGUGCGGUGGNUACGGGCUGGCUUGAGUGCGGUAGGGGAGACUGGAACUCCUGGUGUAGCGGUGGAAUGCGCAGAUAUCAGGAAGAACACCGGUGGCGAAGGCGGGUCUCUGGGCCGUUACUGACGCUGAGGAGCGAAAGCGUGGGGAGCGAACAGGAUUGGAUACCCUGGUAGUCCACGCUGUAAACGUUGGGCACUAGGUGUGGGGGCCACCCGUGGUUUCCGCGCCGUAGCUAACGCUUUAAGUGCCCCGCCUGGGGAGUACGGCCGCAAGGCUAAAACUCAAAGGAAUUGACGGGGGCCCGCACAAGCGGCGGAGCAUGCGGAUUAAUUCGAUGCAACGCGAAGAACCUUACCAAGGCUUGACAUGCGCCCCGGGCGCGCGGAGACGCGCGCGCAUUUGGUUGGGGGUGUGCAGGUGGUGCAUGGUUGUCGUCAGCUCGUGUCGUGAGAUGUUGGGUUAAGUCCCGCAACGAGCGCAACCCUUGCCCUAUGUUGCCAGCGCGUUAUGGCGGGGACUCGUGGGGGACUGCCGGGGUUAACUCGGAGGAAGGUGGGGAUGACGUCAAAUCAUCAUGCCCCUUAUGUCUUGGGCUUCACGCAUGCUACAAUGGCUGGUACAGAGGGUUGCGAUGCCGUGAGGCGGGGCGAAUCCCUUAAAGCCGGUCUCAGUUCGGAUUGGGGUCUGCAACUCGACCCCAUGAAGGUGGAGUCGCUAGUAAUCGCAGAUCAGCAACGCUGCGGUGAAUACGUUCUCGGGCCUUGUACACACCGCCCGUCACGUCACGAAAGUUGGUAACGCCCGAAGCCCAUGGCCCAACCGGCUCUUGCUGGGGGGA
RNAcentral lists this ribosomal RNA (994 nucleotides) under uncultured bacterium. RNAcentral describes it as "bacterial SSU rRNA". It matches the Rfam family "Bacterial small subunit ribosomal RNA", at positions 465 to 1451 of the family's 1533-position model. The record is from RNAcentral.